CUUUAGUGAAGAACCCACCCAAAUAUGGAGAAUGUAGAUGUUAUAUACCCUGACAGGCGAAGUGAAUAACAUUGAUUAUAUUGUUACAAUGGCUCCUGUCUGUCAAGGAAUUGGAUAUAUUAGUCAGCAAUGGCACAGUCCGUUCUUGAAUUUCAUGUAUUGGAAGCAGGAAAAUGGGCAAGUGAAAAGAUCUGAGUGUCUUUGACAAGGGCCAAACCAAAUAGUGAUGGCUAGAUGAC
Pelobates cultripes (western spadefoot toad) is the source of this 239-nucleotide non-coding RNA. The record is from the annotation of a GenBank genome assembly. NCBI's taxonomy places the organism in Eukaryota, Metazoa, Chordata, Amphibia, Anura, Pelobatidae.